GCCACAUUUACAUUGUAGUAGAUAUACAACAUUACUGUCAAAGUAAAAAUGUUGUAUAUCUACUACAAUGUAAAUGUGGC
Pelobates cultripes (western spadefoot toad) is the source of this 80-nucleotide non-coding RNA. The record is from the annotation of a GenBank genome assembly. NCBI's taxonomy places the organism in Eukaryota, Metazoa, Chordata, Amphibia, Anura, Pelobatidae.